UAAAUCAUCUGUUUAAUCUUGGCAGAGUUUGAACGUUAUCUGGUAGUUUUACUCAUGCAAGUUAUUAAUUAUCAUAACUUUUAAUCGGCAGCCUCAUUUUUUUUAUAUAAGAACGUAAAGUUGCCGACCUGAUUAUAUUAGGACUACAGUUUACUAAUUAUAGCGUACAGGCGAGUAUAAAUAAGUAUAUACCAAUAGUUUAUACCUUACAGUCUUUGUCACCGUAGGUGAUAUAAACUAUUGAUUAGCUUAUGUUUUAGCAGGUAGUUGGUUUAUGGUAAAAGCAUACCAAGCCUAUGACGAAUAAGAAUUAGCGAAAGCUUAGUUUCUCGCAAUUGGUUUGAGAAUAACCGAUCACAUCUAAAUUACUAGAUAUGCUGCAGAGGAGGAUCUUGGGCAAUGCUCGAAAGAGUGACCCAGCUAACCAGAACUCUUUUAUCUUGUAUUGAUAACUUUAGAAUAACAUCAAAAAGCUAUUAUAACAAGAAUAGAGUAUAGUAAGGGAGGAUAAUGACGUUACCUUACCAUAAGUCCAAUCUAAGUUUCGUGCCAGCCGACGCGGUUAAACGAACUGGGCUAACGUUAAAUAGAAUUAAUAGGUAUUAAGGAUUCGUAGGUUGUAUUUAUCAACUAUGUUGAUAUACUAGAAUUGAAUAGAGGAUAAUGGAAUGCUAAGAGAAGGGAUGAUAUCCACUGAUAUUUAGUAGAACGCUAAAGGCGAAGGCAAUUAUCCAGUUACCAAUUGACACUGAGGAAUGAAAGUCUGGGGAGCAAAACGAAUUAGAUACUCGUGUAGUCCAGACCGUAAACUAUUUACACUUUAUAUUUAGACAAUGUUAUAAUGUUAAAUAAUAAGCAAACUGCUGUAUGUGUAACACCUUGUGAGUACUGUUUCAGGACAGAAAGCAAAAAGAUUAGACCAUCUUAAAGACCCGGAGUGGAGCAUGUUGUUUAAUACGAUAAUCCGCGUAAAACCUUACCUCUCCUUGUAUGACUUAAUUUCAUUACUAUAUGUAAUGAAAUUAAGUUACAGGUGUUGCAUGGCUGUCGGCAGUUCGUGUCGUGAGAUGUUAGGUUGAGUCCGCUAACGAACGCAAUCCCUAUCUCUAAUUAAUUAUUUAGAGAUAUAUUUUUACAAUAAAUAUUUUGGGAAUACGAUAAGUCUUCAUGACCCUUAUGGAGCAAGGGCUACAGACGUGCUACUUGAAUCUAUCAAUACGAAGCAAUUUUCUAAAAUAUAACUAAAUUUAAUCGGCAGAGCCGUCAGUUAUUAAGCAUCCUUUUUAUUAUAUUUUUUUAUUAUAUUUAUAUAAUAAAAAAACAAAGAUAGAAUCGGCGAAGCCUCGGCGAAGCCUCGGCGAAGCCGUAAAGUAUGCGAAAAUAGAGAUCAUAAAGCAAAUCGUUAACAAAGAUGAUAUUAGGAUCGUAAUCUGAAAUUCGAUUACGUGAAUCAGGAAUUCCGAGUAAUCAUUGAUAAGUAUGCAAUGGUGAACUAUUAUAUUUAAGAGAUACUAAUCGUCUAUCACAUGGGGGCCAUUCUGCAAUCAAGAACAUUUAUAAAUUAAAUUAGCCUUAUGGCAUUAUAAAUGGUAUGAUGAGGAGUUUCUCUCGUGAAGUUAUAGCAAAGUAGCCGUAAGGGAACUUGUGGCUGAUUGAUAAAAAAA
Tilletia controversa (dwarf bunt fungus) is the source of this 1664-nucleotide non-coding RNA. The record is from Rfam. Lineage: Eukaryota; Fungi; Basidiomycota; Exobasidiomycetes; Tilletiales; Tilletiaceae.